GAUUAUUUAGUUUAUAUAAAACAAAUGUUUUGAAAACAUUAAAAAAGUAAAAUACUUAUUAAUCG
RNAcentral lists this transfer RNA (65 nucleotides) under Trapezia rufopunctata. RNAcentral describes it as "tRNA-Ser". The record is from RNAcentral. Lineage: Eukaryota; Metazoa; Arthropoda; Malacostraca; Decapoda; Trapeziidae.